ACAGUUAUAAGUUAAGGGUAAACUGUUCGUCUACCAAACGAAGCUUGUCUGUUCGAUUCUGACUAAUUGUA
This is a transfer RNA of Metarhizium majus ARSEF 297, 71 nucleotides long. It matches the Rfam family "tRNA". Rfam says of the family: Transfer RNA (tRNA) molecules are approximately 80 nucleotides in length. Their secondary structure includes four short double-helical elements and three loops (D, anti-codon, and T loops). The record is from Rfam. Lineage: Eukaryota; Fungi; Ascomycota; Sordariomycetes; Hypocreales; Clavicipitaceae.